RNAcentral lists this transfer RNA (77 nucleotides) under Clostridium sp. CAG:1013. RNAcentral describes it as "transfer RNA-Arg(CCG)". It matches the Rfam family "tRNA". Rfam says of the family: Transfer RNA (tRNA) molecules are approximately 80 nucleotides in length. Their secondary structure includes four short double-helical elements and three loops (D, anti-codon, and T loops). Further hydrogen bonds mediate the characteristic L-shaped molecular structure. tRNAs have two regions of fundamental functional importance: the anti-codon, which is responsible for specific mRNA codon recognition, and the 3' end, to which the tRNAs corresponding amino acid is attached (by aminoacyl-tRNA synthetases). tRNAs cope with the degeneracy of the genetic code in two manners: having more than one tRNA (with a specific anti-codon) for a particular amino acid; and 'wobble' base-pairing, i.e. permitting non-standard base-pairing at the 3rd anti-codon position. The record is from RNAcentral. RNAcentral also lists the same sequence under 5 other names. Lineage: Bacteria; Bacillati; Bacillota; Clostridia; Eubacteriales; Clostridiaceae.
GCGCUCGUAGCUCAGCUGGAUAGAGUGACAGACUCCGACUCUGUAGGCCGCUGGUUCGAAUCCAGUCGGGCGCACCA